This 484-nucleotide ribosomal RNA is filed under the name uncultured bacterium. RNAcentral's name for it is "partial 16S ribosomal RNA". It matches the Rfam family "Bacterial small subunit ribosomal RNA", at positions 28 to 507 of the family's 1533-position model. The record is from RNAcentral.
GAUGAACGCUGGCGGCAGGCCUAACACAUGCAAGUCGAGCGGACAAAGGGAGCUUGUGCUUGGAUUACGUGGGGGACGGGUGAGUAAUGCACAGGAGUAUGCCUGGCCUUGGGGGAUAACGUCAGGAAGCGAGAGCUAAUACCACAUACGAUAAGAGAGUGAAAGUGGGGGUUCUUUGGACCUAACCGUAUUUGAUGAGACUAGGUCGGAUUGGCUAGUUGGUGGGGUAAAGGCCUACCAAGGCGACGAUCCGUAACUGGUCUGAGAGGAUGAUCAGUCACACUGGAACUGAGACACGGUCCAGACUCCUACGGGAGGCAGCAGUAGGGAAUAUUGGGCAAUGGGCGAAAGCCUGAUCCAGCCAUGCCGCGUGUGUGAAGAAGGUCUUCGGAUCGUAAAGCACUGUUAGUUGGGAGGAACAGCUGUAAAUUAAGACCUUGCCGUUUUGACGGUACCUACAAAAUAAGCACCGGCUAACUACGUG